Molecule: non-coding RNA, 169 nt
Filed under: uncultured Enterocloster sp.
Lineage: Bacteria; Bacillati; Bacillota; Clostridia; Lachnospirales; Lachnospiraceae
Description: Lysine riboswitch
Rfam family: Lysine riboswitch aptamer
About the family: Riboswitches are metabolite binding domains within certain messenger RNAs that serve as precision sensors for their corresponding targets.
Source: RNAcentral
UAAAGUAGAGGUCGCGUUGAUCAAGAGUACCGGUGCCGUAUGCGGCAGGCGCAGAGGAUGGGCCGGGAAAGGGUGAGACGCCGAAGAGGAAGCUUUCGCUGCAGGCUUUUCUCUGGGCGCAGGAUGAAGAAUUCUGCGACUGUCAUCCGUGCGGAUGGAGAGCUACUGA